CCAAUAGCGUAUAUUAAAGUUGUUGCAGUUAAAAAGCUCGUAGUUGAAUUUCGGGAUCAGUACGUUGGUCGUGCCUUGGUAUGUACUGGCGUCACUGGUUCCUCCCUUCUGAAGAACCGUUAUGCCAUUAAUUUGGUGUGGCGGGAAAUCAGGACUGUUACUUUGAAAAAAUUAGAGUGUUUAAAGCAGGCUCGCGCUUGAAUACAUUAGCAUGGAAUAAUGAAAUAGGACGUUAAUCCUAUUUUGUUGGUUUCUAGGAUCGACGUAAUGAUUAAUAGGGAUAGUUGGGGGCAUUAGUAUUCAAUUGUCAGAGGUGAAAUUCUUGGAUUUAUUGAAGACUAACUACUGCGAAAGCAUUUGCCAAGGAUGUUUUCAUUAAUCAAGAACGAAAGUUAGGGGAUCGAAGACGAUCAGAUACCGUCGUAGUCUUAACCAUAAACUAUGCCGACUAGGGAUCGGAUGAUGUUAAUUUUUUAAUGACUCAUUCGGCGCCUUACG
Molecule: ribosomal RNA, 498 nt
Filed under: uncultured Glomeromycotina
Lineage: Eukaryota; Fungi; Glomeromycota
Description: partial small subunit ribosomal RNA
Rfam family: Eukaryotic small subunit ribosomal RNA
Source: RNAcentral